ACAAAUACAUAUUAAACAAGACUUAGGUUCACAGCUAAAGUGAACCUUUAAAUUCACCACUUUUCUUAUUAUCAAUCAAAAUUUCACCUACAUUAAUAAUAAAAUAGAUUAAAUUUAUUUAAAAAAAUCUGAAAUAAUUGAAAAAAAAAUAAUAACGCUAAUUUUAAUGAUGCUAACGCCACUAACUAAAUCCUAAACUUUAAAUCUAUACCCUGAACCUUAAACCCUAAACCCAAACCGUAAAUCCUAAACCCAAACACUGUAUCUUAAACCCAAAUCUUAACCCCUAAACUCAAACCGUAAACAUUAAACCCAAACCCUAUAUUCUAAACCCAAACCCUAUAUCUUAAACCCAAAUCAUACACUACAAACUCAAACUAUAUAUCCAAACCUAAUCC
Molecule: long non-coding RNA, 398 nt
Filed under: Brassica rapa (field mustard)
Lineage: Eukaryota; Viridiplantae; Streptophyta; Magnoliopsida; Brassicales; Brassicaceae
Description: long non-coding RNA (BRAP_LNC007119)
Source: RNAcentral